UGAUUUUUUGCCGGUAGAAUAAUUUGGACCCCAGGGAAGGUUGUUGCCGCGGAAGGCUUAUUCCCCUUGAGAGGGAGAGGCGUGGAAAGCGAAAAAGCAUUUAAUCCCUUAACUUUACAUCUUGAAGAACCAGUUGGUCUUGGCUUUGAUUAUGGAGCUGCGGGGAACUCCUGGAGGAGUGUGAGCCCUGGGAAAGAGAUCUUGCCCAACAGUGAAACUGCAAAAAGUUUAUGAGCCCCUGCCCUGGACUCGAUUCCAUCUAGUCACGGCACACAAGGUUAUGAAAGCUAAUUAUCUACGAAGUCAUUUUAGGCGUCAAGAGCUACAAGGAACUAAAGGUGCAUACUUUUUUUUGUAUGUUUAUGUUUUGGGGUUUCCUUUCUAUCUUAAUUUCUUUUUUCUUUUUUCUUUUUUCUUUUUUUUUUGGGGGGGGGUUUCAAGACAGGGUUUCUCUGUGUAGCUUUGUAGCCUGUCCUGGAGCUCACUUCUGUAAACCAGGCUGGCCUGGAACUCACAGAGAUUCACUUGCCUCUGCCUCCCGAGUGCUGGAAUUAAAGGUGUGUGCCACCAACACUUGGCUAAAGAUGCACAUCUUUAAUCCCAACACUGGGAAGGCAGAAGCAGGGGGAUCUCUGUGAGUUUGUUUCAAAGAUUUCCUACCAGGUGGUUGCCUGCCACCUUGUUUGCUCACAGGCAAAUAUAUCUUCCUCUUCACACCAACAAUUUGCCCUCAAUUCAUGGCGACAUCAUAACUUGCACAGAAAGGUGAAUCUAGUAGCUUUUUUCAAAGCCACAAAGUAGUGGUAUGUAGGGUGUAUAUUUAUAAACUGGGACCUGAGGAAGUUAAGAAAAGAGGACAGAGUCAAAGCCAGUCUGGCGUAACUACACAGUAAGACCCUGUUCUCAAAAGACAGAGAGAGAGAGAGAGAGAGAGAGAGAGAGAGAGAGAGAGAGAGAGAGAAUGAUACAUAUUGAAGUUUUGAAGUUGAUUUGGUUUGGUUAUUUAAAACAUUGCACAAUGUAUACUGCUGUCACAACAAUACAUAGUAUCGUAUACAUUUGUAUAACUGUACCUUUAGUUAUUUCAUGCGUGUGUCUGUGUAUAGGUGGGUGGGCUCUCCAGUACCACUUGCAAAUGUGAGGGUGGAGGUGAGAGGACAACUUAGAAAAGUCAGUUCUAGGGGGCUGGAGAGAUGGCUCAGAGGUUAAGAGCAUUGGCUGCUCUUCCAGAGGUCCUAAGUUCAAUUCCCAGCAACCACAUGGUGGCUCACAACCAUCUAUAAUGAGAUCUGGUGUCCUCUUCUGGCAUACAAUGUAUACAUGAUAAUUUUUUUUUUUUUUAAAAAAAAGGGUUUACAUCCAAAUGAAACACACACCGAAAUCAGCAGCCACACACAGUACUUGCUCUAGGCCAG
RNAcentral lists this long non-coding RNA (1415 nucleotides) under Cricetulus griseus (Chinese hamster). Its description in RNAcentral is "lncRNA (ENSCGRG00015031457.1)". The record is from RNAcentral. Lineage: Eukaryota; Metazoa; Chordata; Mammalia; Rodentia; Cricetidae.